This 220-nucleotide long non-coding RNA is filed under the name Elaeis guineensis (African oil palm). RNAcentral describes it as "long non-coding RNA (EGUI_LNC010462)". The record is from RNAcentral. Lineage: Eukaryota; Viridiplantae; Streptophyta; Magnoliopsida; Arecales; Arecaceae.
AUCUUUCUACUUUAAGUGUUUAUAAGUUGAUGGAAUCUUUUGAAACUCAUGAGCAAAGAUUGUUUAGGCACAAAGAAUCAUCAUUAGAAAGUAUCUUUCAAUCUAAGCUCAAGGUGUUUUAUAAAAAUCUUCACAGAGAACCAUCUAGUCAUACAUAAGUUAAAAGAGAGUCAUCUAGAGAUAGAAAUCAAAAUAGAAGAAGAGAAAAAAAUAUGAGAGG